This 913-nucleotide ribosomal RNA is filed under the name uncultured bacterium. RNAcentral's name for it is "bacterial SSU rRNA". It matches the Rfam family "Bacterial small subunit ribosomal RNA", at positions 8 to 916 of the family's 1533-position model. The record is from RNAcentral.
AGAGUUUGAUCCUGGCUCAGAUUGAACGCUGGCGGAAUGCUUUACACAUGCAAGUCGAGCGGCAGCGCGGGGGCAACCCUGGCGGCGAGCGGCGAACGGGUGAGUAACAUAUCGGAACGUACCCUGUCGUGGGGGAUAACACAUCGAAAGGUGUGCUAAUACCGCAUACGACCUGAGGGUGAAAGCGGGGGAUCGCAAGACCUCGCGCGACAGGAGCGGCCGAUAUCGGAUUAGCUAGUUGGUGAGGUAAAGGCUCACCAAGGCGACGAUCCGUAGCGGGUCUGAGAGGACGACCCGCCACACUGGAACUGAGACACGGUCCAGACUCCUACGGGAGGCAGCAGUGGGGAAUUUUGGACAAUGGGGGCAACCCUGAUCCAGCCAUUCCGCGUGAGUGAAGAAGGCCUUCGGGUUGUAAAGCUCUUUCAGCAGGAACGAAACGGUGGCCCCUAAUACGGGCUACUAAUGACGGUACCUGAAGAAGAAGCACCGGCUAACUACGUGCCAGCAGCCGCGGUAAUACGUAGGGUGCGAGCGUUAAUCGGAAUUACUGGGCGUAAAGCGUGCGCAGGCGGUUCCAUAAGACAGAUGUGAAAUCCCCGGGCUUAACCUGGGAACUGCGUUUGUGACUGUGGGACUCGAGUGUGGCAGAGGGGGGUGGAAUUCCACGUGUAGCAGUGAAAUGCGUAGAGAUGUGGAGGAACACCGAUGGCGAAGGCAGCCCCCUGGGUCAACACUGACGCUCAUGCACGAAAGCGUGUGGAGCAAACAGGAUUAGAUACCCUGGUAGUCCACGCCCUAAACGAUGCGAACUAGGUGUUGGGGAAGGAGACUUUCUUAGUACCGCAGCUAACGCGUGAAGUUCGCCGCCUGGGGAGUACGGUCGCAAGAUUAAAACUCAAGGAAUUGACGG